Medicago truncatula (barrel medic) is the source of this 4266-nucleotide RNA transcript. It is a transcript of the gene named AFG1-like ATPase, with no coding region annotated. The record is from RefSeq and is a predicted model, not a curated record. The transcript has 17 exons. Lineage: Eukaryota; Viridiplantae; Streptophyta; Magnoliopsida; Fabales; Fabaceae.
UUGUUUUGGUGGUGAAGGAAGUAUCCACGUCACGUCACUCAGCAUCAACCAAUUGUUUCUUUCUUUCUUUCUUCCAAACUUGUCAUUACGAUACAUGCAUCCAAGAAAAACAGUGAAAUUUUCAGAAUACGAAGAAACAAUGAGAAGAAGAAUCUGGAGUCUUCUCUCCAACAAAAACAAACUCACAUUUCCAAUCCCAAUCUCCAAUUCCCGCGUAAUUCCGUUUCUUUCUUACUGCACCGAUCCAUCACGUAUUCUCAACCAUAACCAUCCAGGACCGCUUGUGCAGUACAAAAAUCUUGUUGAUCAAGGGAAGUUGCAGCACGAUCCUUACCAAGAAAGUGUUGCUACAGAGCUUCAGAAUUUGUUAUCAAGGUUGGAGAAUUAUGAGAGAGAAAUGGAAGAGUAUCAUGUUAAUCUAUCAAACUGGGAGAAGAAAAGGGAGAAUGAGCGCCGAAGGAUUCUUAUGGACGAAGUUGAGAAGCAGCAGAAUGACAAGGAUUGGUGGAAACGCUUGAAUAAUAAAAUCACUGAAAGAUGGACAAACUCUAGGAAAAGACCAGAGAAUGUGGAUCCAGGGGUAGGAAAAUGGGUUUCUUAUCUUAAACGUGAGAAGAAGCUCGAUUCACUGGUUGGUCGCCGUCCAACUGCUCCUCCAGCUCCCAAAGGACUUUACAUAUAUGGCAAUGUGGGCAGUGGGAAAACAAUGCUGAUGGACAUGUUUUACAGUGCUACUGAAGGAAUAGUUAAACAUCGAAGAAGGUAUCACUUUCAUGAGGCCAUGCUUAGAAUAAAUGAGCAUAUGCACAAGACAUGGAAGAAACAAAUGGAAGAGAAGCCUUUGCAGUCAGGCAUAUCAAGUUGGAUUAUGAAUCUUCCAUUCGACACUAAAGCUAAGGAGUGGUUAGCUGCAGAAGAAAGAUACAAAAAGGAGGUGCAGAUGAAACACAUUCUUCCAGAUGUAGCAGAUAAGUUUUUUCUGGAUCGAGAAGGAGAGGAAAAGGGAGCUAACAUUUUGUGCUUUGAUGAGAUACAGACCGUUGAUGUAUUUGCUAUUGUGGCUUUAUCUGGAAUUCUAAGCAGAUUGCUGAGUAGUGGAACUAUUAUUGUGGCUACAAGUAAUCGAGCACCAAAGGACUUGAAUGAGGCUAAUAUGGUACCAGAAUUCUUCCAAAACCUUCUUUCUAAUUUAGAAGAACAUUGUGAGAAGGUGUUGGUAGGCAGUGAAAUUGACUACCGUCGUUUUAUAGCACAAAGAUCAGAAAACCGGGUAAACUAUUUAUGGCCUAUUGAAAGGGAAACCAUCAAUAAAUUUGAGAAAAAGUGGCAGGAUGCAACAGGCAGAUUUGGAGGAAAAGUAAUCUCCAACACCAUCUCAGUGAUGUUCGGAAGGACUCUUGAGGUUCCUGAAAGCUGCGAGGGAGUUGCCCGCUUUACAUUUGACUAUCUAUGUGGUCGUCCGUUGGGUGCAGCAGAUUAUAUUGCAGUUGCUGAAAACUAUCACACCGUUUUCAUAUCUGAUAUUCCAAUGAUGAGCAUGCGCAUUCGUGACAAGGCACGGAGAUUUAUCACUCUUAUUGACGAAUUAUACAAUCAUCAUUCUUGUCUAUGUUGCUUGGCAUCCUCUUCAAUUGAUGAAUUAUUUCAAGGAACUGAGGAGGGCACACUUUUUGACUUGGAGAGUUUCCAGUUUGAAACAGAGGCUGAAGGCAGCAAACUUCGCCGCGAUGUCUUAGCAGAAGGCAACGUGGGCUCAGGAGGUACCCCUGUUGGCAUCACAUCCAUACUAUCUGGUCAGGAAGAGCUGUUUACUUUUCAGAGAGCUGUGUCGCGCCUGAUUGAAAUGCAAACUCAAUUAUACUUGGAUGGAGUCAGUAAUGUCCACCCUUAUUUUCAGACGCAACAUAAAAAAUUUCAAAAAAAUCGCGACAACUUAUUGUCUGAGUCAUCAUCAGUUUGAAAAUAUGGCCGACCAUGACCCCAUUGAUCCAUCUAAAAUGAUUGGUGGUAGGCGAGCGAUGACCCAGAGCCACCGGAGGGAGAGGUAGAGCGCCCACAUCCCAAAGAGGGGUAGAGGUCGGAGGGGAGAUGAUUCAGGGAGUUCUCAGGCUACACAGCCUGAGGAGUCACAGGUUGUGGACCCGUCUGGGGUGGAGUACCUGAACUAUCAGGAUCAGGUACACCACGAUACGACUGAUAGGAUCAUAUACCACAAGCAGCAUGUAGGAGACGACGGUGACAUUGCAGCAGCUGCUGCCCCGGAUGUGUUACUUGAGGACCCUCCCUUUGCUGGAGAACCGACAGACUUAUCUUUGCUGCACUCUUAUGCCGGUCAUGUGGCGUUGCCACUUUGGUAUAAUUCAGAUAACGUUCGUAAGUUGCGUGUGGUCAAACCUAUUAAUCAUGGGCCUAAGAUCCUGAGUCUCGGACGCCCAAACGGGAAUCAGGAUUGGUUUUGGGAUCCGCUUAGGCAGAGCAGGUUACAUGACUUGGUGUACCUGGGCUACGCCACUGUGCCCCAUGCCCUACUGAUGACUCAGUGUGAGAGGGAAAAAGGUGAGGAAUGUAGCAGGGAACUGUCAUAUUCCUUUUGAUGUGCUUGAUAUCAUUUCCAAAACACUAGAUUUUGACGAUCUCUUUCGGUUUGCCGGUGUGUGCAAGCAUUGGAGGGUUUUUUAUUGGAGAAAUUUACUGGCAUCGCAAGAACCGUUACUUCUUCAAGUUUCGUAUAAUCAUAAGGAAUCAUAUUCCUUUGUUAGCUUGUUUGACCAAAAGAUUUAUUGCUUGAAGAUGAUAGAGUGCUUCCUCCGCUCUAUCUAUGUUACGUCUUCUGGUGGAUAUUUUAUCAUGGUGGGGUAUAAUAAUUCAUUUUUACUAAGCAAUCCUUUUACAAGAAUAAAGAAGAUAAUCAAUGUCUCUACCUUUGAAGUUAAGUCUAAUAUUUUUGCUAAUCAUGUCUUACUUGCUUUUGGCAAAUGCUCGGAUGAAUUUGUCUUGGUGGUUUUAUGUAAAAGUUCUAGGAGUUUGUGUGUCUAUCAAUCUCAAAAUUGUGAUUGGGUUACUUAUUCGACAAUGGGAAAUCCAGGGAGGGUUGUUGACUUUAUGGUUUCGCAUAAUAUAAUAUAUGUUGUUACUGACAAGGCCAACAUAGGGGGUACUCAGCUUGAAUUCUGCAGAUAUUAAAUUUCUAAAACUGAAGAGUGUUCCCAACGUAACAACUUCCUGAUACCUUAGAUUAAUUAACUGUGAUGAGCAACUUUUAGUGGUUGAUUCAUCGUUGAAGGAGAUAAGGAAUGUAUACAAGAUAGGCUUCUCAACCAUGAAUUAUGUCAAACUGGAAACUUUGGGCAACAUUUCAUUAUUUUAUGCUGAUAACAGAAACUGUUAUGAACUAAAAUAGGUGGGGAUAUGAAAGAAACUAUGUGUACACAAUGUAAUGUGUAUUCAGGGGAUGAUAAAAAAUUGCAAAAAUGUAGUACGCUUCCAGCUCCUCCGUAUGGAACAGAUUCUCACAUGUUGGAUUGGUGUUUUAGACAUCUACAAUAUGAGGUAGAUUAUUCUUCAGUUGAGUAACUGUAUGAUGUACACUGUGUUACUUGUGGUCUUUGUGUAGGAAAAACUUGUAAUGUUUUGUAGUUUCAAUAUUAGGAAAGUAUUGAGAUUGAAGAAAGAAUUGAAUUCAGAUGUGUAUCAGAAUUGAAUGUGUUGACUGUGGAAAUAAGUAUCAGAAAAUGCACUGUGUAAAACUUUGAAGCUAUUAGCAGUAGAGGUGGCUCUGGUCCAGGAAGUUAUCAACCGUUCCAAUUAGAAAUGGAAAGUGAAGCCAUUCUUCUAAUCAUUCUAGGGAAGAAAGAAACUCUGCCUCUGGGAUUGAGUUUGGAUUAGGAUAUUCAAUUCUAUUUUGCUCAUAUGUGAGCUCAUGUGUUAUAAGCUAUAUGCUAUUAGUUAACAGUUUUACCUAGCGAAAUAAAGGCUAUGUAGCAAGAAAAAAGAAGUUGAAAGGAUAAAAAUGGAUGCAUGUUUGUCUUUUUUAUAUUUUAUUGAAAGGUUAUUAACUUGCUGUUAACAAUCAUGGUUUUAUAUGCUUCGUAGUUUACUGAACUUCAACUUUCUCUCGAGUCUGAAAACCUCAUCUCAGAGCUUGUCAAAUUCCUUGAUUCUUCAUCGGUUGCUGCUCUCUCUGAUCCAUACAAUGAACAUAAAGAAGUCAGUGCAGUUGAAGCUCUGUCUGAGAUUCACCGAUAUAUUUCUCCGUCUCUUGACCAG